RNAcentral lists this ribosomal RNA (120 nucleotides) under Pteropus alecto (black flying fox). The record is from RNAcentral. RNAcentral also lists the same sequence under 1 other name. Lineage: Eukaryota; Metazoa; Chordata; Mammalia; Chiroptera; Pteropodidae.
GUCUACAGCCAUGCUACCCUGAACAAGCUCAAUCCCAUCUGAUCUCAGAAGCUAGGCAGGGUUGGGCCCUGGUUAGUACUUGGAUGGGAGACCACCUAAGAAGACCAGAUGCUGUAGGCU